GUGCACAUGACCAACGUUGUAUAGGGAUAGAAAUUUGUCAAAUCAGACAGGAUUUGUUUCAAUGUCGAGUUUGCUGUGAGUGGAAGAAAAUAGGAACAAACAACAUUGAUGAACAUCCCGGAUGUAAAUACUUAGAAAUGGAAGAUAGGAGCAGUGAAAACUUAGCUAUGAAUGCCACAAUGAGCACGGCUUACAAUAUCAAC
Saccostrea cuccullata (small rock oyster) is the source of this 203-nucleotide long non-coding RNA. RefSeq lists it as uncharacterized. The record is from RefSeq and is a predicted model, not a curated record. The transcript has 3 exons. Lineage: Eukaryota; Metazoa; Mollusca; Bivalvia; Ostreida; Ostreidae.